GAAGGCUAUGUUGGCCGGGCGACGGUUGUCCCGGUUUAAGCGUGUAGGCUGGUUUUCCAGGCAAAUCCGGAAAAUCAAGGCUGAGGCGUGAUGACGAGGCACUACGGUGCUGAAGCAACAAAUGCCCUGCUUCCAGGAAAAGCCUCUAAGCAUCAGGUAACAUCAAAUCGUACCCCAAACCGACACAGGUGGUCAGGUAGAGAAUACCAAGGCGCUUGAGAGAACUCGGGUGAAGGAACUAGGCAAAAUGGUGCCGUAACUUCGGGAGAAGGCACGCUGAUAUGUAGGUGAAGUCCCUCGCGGAUGGAGCUGAAAUCAGUCGAAGAUACCAGCUGGCUGCAACUGUUUAUUAAAAACACAGCACUGUGCAAACACGAAAGUGGACGUAUACGGUGUGACGCCUGCCCGGUGCCGGAAGGUUAAUUGAUGGGGUUAGCGCAAGCGAAGCUCUUGAUCGAAGCCCCGGUAAACGGCGGCCGUAACUAUAACGGUCCUAAGGUAGCGAAAUUCCUUGUCGGGUAAGUUCCGACCUGCACGAAUGGCGUAAUGAUGGCCAGGCUGUCUCCACCCGAGACUCAGUGAAAUUGAACUCGCUGUGAAGAUGCAGUGUACCCGCGGCAAGACGGAAAGACCCCGUGAACCUUUACUAUAGCUUGACACUGAACAUUGAGCCUUGAUGUGUAGGAUAGGUGGGAGGCUUUGAAGUGUGGACGCCAGUCUGCAUGGAGCCGACCUUGAAAUACCACCCUUUAAUGUUUGAUGUUCUAACGUUGACCCGUAAUCCGGGUUGCGGACAGUGUCUGGUGGGUAGUUUGACUGGGGCGGUCUCCUCCUAAAGAGUAACGGAGGAGCACGAAGGUUGGCUAAUCCUGGUCGGACAUCAGGAGGUUAGUGCAAUGGCAUAAGCCAGCUUGACUGCGAGCGUGACGGCGCGAGCAGGUGCGAAAGCAGGUCAUAGUGAUCCGGUGGUUCUGAAUGGAAGGGCCAUCGCUCAACGGAUAAAAGGUACUCCGGGGAUAACAGGCUGAUACCGCCCAAGAGUUCAUAUCGACGGCGGUGUUUGGCACCUCGAUGUCGGCUCAUCACAUCCUGGGGCUGAAGUAGGUCCCAAGGGUAUGGCUGUUCGCCAUUUAAAGUGGUACGCGAGCUGGGUUUAGAACGUCGUGAGACAGUUCGGUCCCUAUCUGCCGUGGGCGCUGGAGAACUGAGGGGGGCUGCUCCUAGUACGAGAGGACCGGAGUGGACGCAUCACUGGUGUUCGGGUUGUCAUGCCAAUGGCACUGCCCGGUAGCUAAAUGCGGAAGAGAUAAGUGCUGAAAGCAUCUAAGCACGAAACUUGCCCCGAGAUGAGUUCUCCCUGACUCCUUGAGAGUCCUGAAGGAACGUUGAAGACGACGACGUUGAUAGGCCGGGUGUGUAAGCGCAGCGAUGCGUUGAGCUAACCGGUACUAAUGAACCGUGAGGCUUAACCUU
Molecule: ribosomal RNA, 1473 nt
Filed under: Escherichia coli O26:H11
Lineage: Bacteria; Pseudomonadati; Pseudomonadota; Gammaproteobacteria; Enterobacterales; Enterobacteriaceae
Description: bacterial LSU rRNA
Rfam family: Bacterial large subunit ribosomal RNA
Source: RNAcentral